Molecule: long non-coding RNA, 539 nt
Filed under: Numida meleagris (helmeted guineafowl)
Lineage: Eukaryota; Metazoa; Chordata; Aves; Galliformes; Numididae
Description: lncRNA (ENSNMEG00000017908.1)
Source: RNAcentral
GCCGAGGGGUGGGGAGCUGAGGCCUGGGCCAGGCCUGCUCCCUGCAGGGGACACUUGCUGCAAAAAGGCACCAAGCAGUUCCUUCUGCUCAUCCUGCGAGUGCUGGGGGUUGGAGGAGCUGCGCAAAGAUGAGCAGGGCCCUGGAUCAAGCAGUUCUCUGUGUCUAGAGGUUUGAUCAAUGCUUCCAGACUGAUGACAGUAAGAGCAUUCAGGCAGCAGGGACCUCUUCUUCCUGAGGGUAGCUGUGCUUUGCCAAGUGGGGAGAUCCACACCUCUGCAAGGCAAUUUCUGGAGCUGUGCAGGAGCGUGCUACAUUGAGGAGGUACCCAGCAACAUUUCUGGCAAGAAGAACAAACACUGCAGGACUUAACAACAUAUUCCAGUAUUUUUCAGUUCCUGUAGAGAAAUCAGCCUUUUUGAGCAACAGAUGGAGAAACAGUGAUCCAUCAGAAAACACCUCAGAGCUGAAACUGGUGUCAUGGAGCACCCAUAGAGAGAGAACUGCGAUGGGAGACAGACUCUGGAGAAGGUGUAUGUGA